RNAcentral lists this ribosomal RNA (241 nucleotides) under uncultured bacterium. RNAcentral describes it as "partial 16S ribosomal RNA". It matches the Rfam family "Bacterial small subunit ribosomal RNA", at positions 524 to 764 of the family's 1533-position model. The record is from RNAcentral.
UACGAAGGGGGCUAGCGUUGCUCGGAAUCACUGGGCGUAAAGCGCACGUAGGCGGAUUGCUAAGUCAGGGGUGAAAUCCUGGAGCUCAACUCCAGAACUGCCUUUGAUACUGGUGAUCUUGAGUCCGGGAGAGGUGAGUGGAACUGCGAGUGUAGAGGUGAAAUUCGUAGAUAUUCGCAAGAACACCAGUGGCGAAGGCGGCUCACUGGCCCGGUACUGACGCUGAGGUGCGAAAGCGUGG